RNAcentral lists this ribosomal RNA (422 nucleotides) under uncultured bacterium. RNAcentral describes it as "bacterial SSU rRNA". It matches the Rfam family "Bacterial small subunit ribosomal RNA", at positions 355 to 774 of the family's 1533-position model. The record is from RNAcentral.
UAAGGAAUAUUGGACAAUGGAGGCAACUCUGAUCCAGCCAUGCCGCGUGAAGGAAUAAGGCCCUAUGGGUUGUAAACUUCUUUUAGACGGGACAAAACCCCUUUACGUGUAAAGGGUUGAUGGUACUGUCAGAAUAAGCAUCGGCUAACUUCGAGCCAGCAGCCGCGGUAAUACGAAGGAUGCAAGCGUUAUCCGGAAUUAUUGGGUUUAAAGGGUGCGUAGGCGGACUAAUAAGUCAGUGGUGAAAGCCUGCAGCUUAACUGCAGAAUUGCCAUUGAUACUGUUAGUCUUGAGUACAGUUGAGGUAGGCGGAAUGUGUCAUGUAGCGGUGAAAUGCGUAGAUAUGACACAGAACACCGAUUGCGAAGGCAGCUUGCUAAGCUGUAACUGACGCUGAGGCACGAAAGCGUGGGGAGCAAACA